Molecule: ribosomal RNA, 428 nt
Filed under: uncultured bacterium
Lineage: Bacteria
Description: bacterial SSU rRNA
Rfam family: Bacterial small subunit ribosomal RNA
Source: RNAcentral
CAGCAGUGGGGAAUAUUGCACAAUGGGCGCAAGCCUGAUGCAGCAACGCCGCGUGAGCGAUGAAGGCCUUCGGGUCGUAAAGCUCUGUCCUCAAGGAAGAAUAAAUGACGGUACUUGAGGAGGAAGCCCCGGCUAACUACGUGCCAGCAGCCGCGGUAAUACGUAGGGGGCAAGCGUUAUCCGGAAUCACUGGGCGUAAAGGGUGCGUAGGCGGUUUUUCAAGUCAGAAGUGAAAGGCUAUGGCUCAACCAUAGUAAGCUUUUGAAACUGUUAAACUUGAGUGCAGGAGAGGAAAGUGGAAUUCCUAGUGUAGAGGUGAAAUUCGUAGAUAUUAGGAGGAACACCAGUGGCGAAGGCGACUUUCUGGACUGUAACUGACGCUGAGGCACGAAAGCGUGGGGAGCGAACAGGAUUAGAUACCCUGGUAG